GAACUUCCGUUAUUGAUUAUGACGUACUUGUACUGAUUGAGAUUUUAACACGAAGUGAGUGGCGAACGGGUGAGUAACACGUGGGUAACCUGCCCAGAAGUAGGGGAUAACACCUGGAAACAGAUGCUAAUACCGUAUAACAGAGAAAACCGCAUGGUUUUCUUUUAAAAGAUGGCUCUGCUAUCACUUCUGGAUGGACCCGCGGCGUAUUAGCUAGUUGGUGAGGUAAAGGCUCACCAAGGCAGUGAUACGUAGCCGACCUGAGAGGGUAAUCGGCCACAUUGGGACUGAGACACGGCCCAGACUCCUACGGGAGGCAGCAGUAGGGAAUCUUCCACAAUGGACGCAAGUCUGAUGGAGCAACGCCGCGUGAGUGAAGAAGGGUUUCGGCUCGUAAAGCUCUGUUGUUAAAGAAGAACGUGGGUAAGAGUAACUGUUUACCCAGUGACGGUAUUUAACCAGAAAGCCACGGCUAACUACGUGCCAGCAGCCGCGGUAAUACGUAGGUGGCAAGCGUUAUCCGGAUUUAUUGGGCGUAAAGCGAGCGCAGGCGGUCUUUUAAGUCUAAUGUGAAAGCCUUCGGCUCAACCGAAGAAGUGCAUUGGAAACUGGGAGACUUGAGUGCAGAAGAGGACAGUGGAACUCCAUGUGUAGCGGUGAAAUGCGUAGAUAUAUGGAAGAACACCAGUGGCGAAGGCGGCUGUCUGGUCUGCAACUGACGCUGAGGCUCGAAAGCAUGGGUAGCGAACAGGAUUAGAUACCCUGGUAGUCCAUGCCGUAAACGAUGAUUACUAAGUGUUGGAGGGUUUCCGCCCUUCAGUGCUGCAGCUAACGCAUUAAGUAAUCCGCCUGGGGAGUACGACCGCAAGGUUGAAACUCAAAAGAAUUGACGGGGGCCCGCACAAGCGGUGGAGCAUGUGGUUUAAUUCGAAGCUACGCGAAGAACCUUACCAGGUCUUGACAUCUUCUGACAGUCUAAGAGAUUAGAGGUUCCCUUCGGGGACAGAAUGACAGGUGGUGCAUGGUUGUCGUCAGCUCGUGUCGUGAGAUGUUGGGUUAAGUCCCGCAACGAGCGCAACCCUUAUUACUAGUUGCCAGCAUUAAGUUGGGCACUCUAGUGAGACUGCCGGUGACAAACCGGAGGAAGGUGGGGACGACGUCAAAUCAUCAUGCCCCUUAUGACCUGGGCUACACACGUGCUACAAUGGAUGGUACAACGAGUCGCGAGACCGCGAGGUUAAGCUAAUCUCUUAAAACCAUUCUCAGUUCGGACUGUAGGCUGCAACUCGCCUACACGAAGUCGGAAUCGCUAGUAAUCGCGGAUCAGCAUGCCGCGGUGAAUACGUUCCCGGGCCUUGUACACACCGCCCGUCACACCAUGAGAGUUUGUAACACCCAAAGCCGGUGGG
Molecule: ribosomal RNA, 1409 nt
Filed under: Pediococcus pentosaceus
Lineage: Bacteria; Bacillati; Bacillota; Bacilli; Lactobacillales; Lactobacillaceae
Description: bacterial SSU rRNA
Rfam family: Bacterial small subunit ribosomal RNA
Source: RNAcentral